GUAGGUCUACAAGACAGAUUAACAAGUCCAACAAUAACUGACUACAUGACCAAUUGAACAAUGAUCGAGAAGUCUUUCAACUUUGACAUGGCCAUUGAUCUCCGUCCUGAAAUAGCUGCCUGCUCAAGCAAACAUUCAAAAUGUCCUUGCACCUAGAUUCGUCAUGUAGUAUAAGCUGAAAACACAAAAAAGGGACUAAACGAGAAAAAUAUCAGAUACACAUCUCCUGAGAGUGCGCUGAGAAAGCUAAAGUGUCAAUGAAGCUCCCCGCUGCAAAUCGGGCUGCAAGAGAGUUUCCUGCAUUUGUGGGAUUUUGCCCUGCGCGAGAUUCAAGGGGAUUCAAUGUGAAUUCAAAGCACUCAGGCCUUUGCAAUGAUUGAUCACCAAAAAUAUCCUCACCAACGACAGCGUAAACAUCAAUGAUGGAUCAUCAAAGAUUAUUUCUUUAACUAAAAUAGUAACUACGAGAAUACAGUGUCGAAUGGGUUAAAAUCCCUCAACUCGUAGUAAAAUCUUACGUUGGUCAUUGAACUUAAAC
This 538-nucleotide long non-coding RNA is filed under the name Olea europaea subsp. europaea. Lineage: Eukaryota; Viridiplantae; Streptophyta; Magnoliopsida; Lamiales; Oleaceae. The record is from RNAcentral.